CAGGUUUACCUGUGUGACUGCGUACCUUUUGUAUAAUGGGUCAGCGACUUAUAUUCUGUAGCAAGGUUAACCGAAUAGGGGAGCCGGAGGGAAACCGAGUCUUAAUUGGGCGUUAAGUUGCAGGGUAUAGACCCGAAACCCGGUGAUCUAGCCAUGGGCAGGUUGAAGGUUGGGUAACACUAACUGGAGGACCGAACCGACUAAUGUUGAAAAAUUAGCGGAUGACCUGUGGCUGGGGGUGAAAGGCCAAUCAAACCGGGAGAUAGCUGGUUCUCCCCGAAAGCUAUUUAGGUAGCGCCUCGUGAAUUCAUCUCCGGGGGUAGAGCACUGUUUCGGCUAGGGGGCCAUCCCGGCUUACCAACCCGAUGCAAACUGCGAAUACCGGAGAAUGUUAUCACGGGAGACACACGGCGGGUGCUAACGUCCGUCGUGAAGAGGGAAACAACCCAGACCGCCAGCUAAGGUCCCAAAGUCAUGGUUAAGUGGGAAACGAUGUGGGAAGGCCCAGACAGCCAGGAUGUUGGCUUAGAAGCAGCCAUCAUUUAAAGAAAGCGUAAUAGCUCACUGGUCGAGUCGGCCUGCGCGGAAGAUGUAACGGGGCUAAACCAUGCACCGAAGCUGCGGCAGCGAACGUAUCACUUAAAGCGAUUCAGCGGGUUACGAUUGACGGAGCGAAGCGACGUCAAAGCGUAUACAAAGUCGAGUCGGUUUAAGGAUACGUU
This 722-nucleotide ribosomal RNA is filed under the name Salmonella enterica subsp. enterica serovar Anatum. RNAcentral describes it as "partial 23S ribosomal RNA". It matches the Rfam family "Bacterial large subunit ribosomal RNA", at positions 580 to 1298 of the family's 2925-position model. RNAcentral also lists the same sequence under 1 other name. Lineage: Bacteria; Pseudomonadati; Pseudomonadota; Gammaproteobacteria; Enterobacterales; Enterobacteriaceae. The record is from RNAcentral.